AGGACGAACGCUGGCGGCGUGCCUAAUACAUGCAAGUAGAACGCUGAAGAGGAGCUUGCUCCUUGGAUGAGUUGCGAACGGGUGAGUAACGCGUAGGUAACCUACCUCUUAGCGGGGGAUAACUAUGGAAACGAUAGCUAAUACCGCAUAACAGUCUUGGCCGCAUGGCUGGGGCUUGAAAGGAACAAUUGUUUCACUAAGAGAUGGACCUGCGUUGUAUUAGCUAGUUGGUGAGGUAACGGCUCACCAAGGCAUCGAUACAUAGCCGACCUGAGAGGGUGAUCGGCCACACUGGGACUGAGACACGGCCCAGACUCCUACGGGAGGCAGCAGUAGGGAAUCUUCGGCAAUGGGGGCAACCCUGACCGAGCAACGCCGCGUGAGUGAAAGAAGGUUUUCGGAUCGUAAAGCUCUGUUGUAAGAGAAGAACGUUGAUGUGAGUGGAAAGUACAUCAAGUGACGGUAUCUUACCAGAAAGGGACGGCUAACUACGUGCCAGCAGCCGC
Molecule: ribosomal RNA, 506 nt
Filed under: uncultured bacterium
Lineage: Bacteria
Description: bacterial SSU rRNA
Rfam family: Bacterial small subunit ribosomal RNA
Source: RNAcentral